Molecule: ribosomal RNA, 729 nt
Filed under: uncultured eukaryote
Lineage: Eukaryota
Description: SSU rRNA
Rfam family: Eukaryotic small subunit ribosomal RNA
Source: RNAcentral
CGGGUGCACUGAUCCAGCCGGGCCUUUCCCUCUGUGGAACCCCAUGGCCUUCACUGGCUGUGGUGGGGAAACAGGACUUUUACUUUGAAAAAAUUAGAGUGCUCCAGGCAGGCCUAUGCUCGAAUACAUUAGCAUGGAAUAAUAGAAUAGGACGUGUGGUUCUAUUUUGUUGGUUUCUAGGACCGCCGUAAUGAUUAAUAGGGACAGUCGGGGGCAUCAGUAUUCAAUUGUCAGAGGUGAAAUUCUUGGAUCUAUUGAAGACUAACUACUGCGAAAGCAUUUGCCAAGGAUGUUUUCAUUGAUAAGGAACGAAAGUUAGGGGAUCGAAGACGAUCAGAUACCGUCGUAGUCUUAACUAUAAACUAUGCCGACUAGGGAUCGGACGAUGUUAUUCUUUGACGCGUUCGGCACCUUUCGAGAAAUCAAAGUGCUUGGGCUCCAGGGGGAGUAUGGUCGCAAGGCUGAAACUUAAAGAAAUUGACGGAAGGGCACCACCAGGGGUGGAACCUGCGGCUUAAUUUGACUCAACACGGGGAAACCCACCAGGUCCAGACACAGUGAGGAUUGACAGAUUGAGAGCUCUUUCUUGAUUCUGUGGGUGGUGGUGCAUGGCCGUUCUUAGUUGGUGGAGUGAUUUGUCUGCUUAAUUGCGAUAACGAACGAGACCUUAACCUGCUAAAUAGCCCGUACUGCUUUGGCAGUUCGCCGGCUUCUUAGAGGGACUAUCGG